RNAcentral lists this ribosomal RNA (235 nucleotides) under uncultured Actinomycetales bacterium. RNAcentral's name for it is "partial 16S ribosomal RNA". It matches the Rfam family "Bacterial small subunit ribosomal RNA", at positions 96 to 334 of the family's 1533-position model. The record is from RNAcentral. Lineage: Bacteria; Bacillati; Actinomycetota; Actinomycetes; Actinomycetales.
UGGCGAACGGGUGAGUAACACGUGGGUGAUCUGCCCUGCACUCUGGGAUAAGCCUGGGAAACUGGGUCUAAUACCGGAUAGGACCAUGCUUUAGUGUGUGUGGUGGAAAGUUUUUUCGGUGUAGGAUGAGCCCGCGGCCUAUCAGCUUGUUGGUGGGGUAAUGGCCUACCAAGGCGGCGACGGGUAGCCGGACUGAGAGGUUGGUCUGCCACAUUGGGACUGAGAUACGGCCCAG